RNAcentral lists this ribosomal RNA (650 nucleotides) under uncultured bacterium. RNAcentral describes it as "bacterial SSU rRNA". It matches the Rfam family "Bacterial small subunit ribosomal RNA", at positions 746 to 1396 of the family's 1533-position model. The record is from RNAcentral.
CUCAGAUGCGAAAGCGUGGCGAGCAAACAGGAUUAGAUACCCUGGUAGUCCACGCCGUAAACGAUGUCUACUUGGAGGUUGUGGCCUUGAGCCGUGGCUUUCGAAGCUAACGCGUUAAGUAGACCGCCUGGGGAGUACGGUCGCAAGAUUAAAACUCAAAUGAAUGACGGGGGCCCGCACAAGCGGUGGAGCAUGUGGUUUAAUUUGAUGCAACGCGAAGAACCUUACCUACUCUUGACAUCCAGAGAACUUUCCAGAGAUGGAUUGGUGCCUUCGGGAACUCUGAAACAGGUGCUGCAUGGCUGUCGUCAGCUCGUGUUGUGAAAUGUUGGGUUAAGUCCCGCAACGAGCGCAACCCUUAUCCUUGUUUGCCAGCGAGUAAUGUCGGGAACUCCAGGGAGACUGCCGGUGAUAAACCGGAGGAAGGUGGGGACGACGUCAAGUCAUCAUGGCCCUUACGAGUAGGGCUACACACGUGCCACAAUGGCGCAUACAGAGGGCGGCCAACUUGCGAAAGUGAGCGAAUCCCAAAAAGUGCGUCGUAGUCCGGAUUGGAGUCUGCAACUCGACUCCAUGAAGUCGGAAUCGCUAGUAAUCGUGGAUCAGAAUGCCACGGGGAAUACGUUCCCGGGCCUUGUACACACCGCCCA